ACCGAGAAUACCCACCGGGAAUCUGAGGAUAGAUUCGGGAUAAGAGCAUAGACGUCUCGAACACCACGAUAGUUCAAAGCUCCGGCGCCUAAGGAUGGAUAUGCGAUCCAUCAAGUUGUAGUGAGGUGUAACGUACAUACUAUCCGACGACGGAUAUGGGUUGUGAGAGCAAGAGCCCGGAGAUGGAUUGUGAGACACGAAUCCAGGCCAUAGGUGGUGCAGCAGGUGGUAACACUUUUCAAUCCGACAAACCGCGAUAAGAGAACCCCAAAUGCCAGCAUCAAAUGUUAGCCGUCCAGAUGAAUAAUAAUCUUUUGUUAGCAAGGGCCGGGCAAGACCGGUGCCAGCCGUCGCGGUAACACCAGCGAACCGAGUGGCAUCUUCUUUUAUUGGGUCUAAAGGCUCUGUAUCCGUCUUAAUAUCUCCUUUGGGAAAUCUCCCAGCUGAACUAUCAGGCUUUUAAUUGAUACAGUCAGCCUUGGGACCGGAACAACUAAGAGUUACCACAGUGGUAGGAGUGAAAUCUCAUAAUCCCUAAUCCUCCUUCCGCGGCGAAGGCGCCUUCCCAAAACUCAAUCACCGGUGAGUAACUAAAGCUAGGGGAGCAAACCGGAUUAAAUAUCUAAGCAUUUCAACCCGUCACCAAUAAUUCCUCGGUGUCAGACCCGGUUCUAGUUUGUCUGUAUCGGCAGCAAUCCCUGGUUCGGCCCCCGGAUUUCGCCCCGACCUAUUUAUCCGCCUACGCG
Molecule: ribosomal RNA, 746 nt
Filed under: uncultured archaeon
Lineage: Archaea
Description: bacterial SSU rRNA
Rfam family: Archaeal small subunit ribosomal RNA
Source: RNAcentral